CGGGCCGGCCAGACGGUCGCGUCGCGUGUCCUCCGCCCUCGUGACGGAGGGCGCGCGCCGAGGAACGUCCGGGCUCCGCAGAGCAGGGUGGUGGGUAACACCCACCCGGAGUGAUCCGCGAGAAAGUGCAACAGAGAGCAGACCGCCGCACCGCGCACGUCGCGGGGCGGUAAGGGUGAAACGGUGGUGUAAGAGACCACCAGGGGCCCNGUGCCGAUGAGGUUGCUCGCCGAGGCACCGGGUAGACCGCUGGAGGGCUGCGGCGACGCAGUCCCGAGAGAGAUGGCCGUCCGGUCGGAUCGUGCCGCGAGGCACGGACGACCGACAGAACCCGGCGUAUCGGCCGACCCGUUCG
RNAcentral lists this RNase P RNA (355 nucleotides) under Schumannella luteola. RNAcentral describes it as "RNase P RNA component class A". It matches the Rfam family "Bacterial RNase P class A". From Rfam's summary of the family: Ribonuclease P (RNase P) is a ubiquitous endoribonuclease, found in archaea, bacteria and eukarya as well as chloroplasts and mitochondria. The record is from RNAcentral. Lineage: Bacteria; Bacillati; Actinomycetota; Actinomycetes; Micrococcales; Microbacteriaceae.